GAUGAACGCUGGCGGCGUGCUUAACACAUGCAAGUCGAACGAUGAAGCCCAGCUUGCUGGGUGGGUUAGUGGCGAACGGGUGAGUAACACGUGAGUAACCUGCCCUUGACUCUGGGAUAAGCCUGGAAAACUGGGUCUAAUACUGGAUAUGACUUCUCAUCGCGUGGUGGGGGGUGGAAAGAUUUAUUGGUCUUGGAUGGACUCGCGGCCUAUCAGCUUGUUGGUGUGGUAUUGGCUCACCAAGGCGACGACGGGUAGCCGGCCUGAGAGGGUGACCGGCCACACUGGGACUGAGACACGGCCCAGACUCCUACGGGAGGCAGCAGUGGGGAAUAUUGCACAAUGGGCGCAAGCCUGAUGCAGCGACGCCGCGUGAGGGAUGACGGCCUUCGGGUUGUAAACCUCUUUCAGUAGGGAAGAAGCGAGAGUGACGGUACCUGCAGAAGAAGCGCCGGCUAACUACGUG
This 466-nucleotide ribosomal RNA is filed under the name uncultured bacterium. RNAcentral describes it as "partial 16S ribosomal RNA". It matches the Rfam family "Bacterial small subunit ribosomal RNA", at positions 28 to 507 of the family's 1533-position model. The record is from RNAcentral.